CGCCGCUAAAGCUCUAUUUCCCUGUAGUGAACCCUGAAUCCUCAAAUCCUCUAAAAUUUUCCCCAAUUUGAUAUCCUUAAAUCGGUUUCCCAAAAUCCCCAAAUCAAAAUACCUUUGAUUUUCGCUGAAGUCCCUUUGAUUUGCUCUGCUAAAAAUAUCAGUAGUUUUCCCAUAACCCUUAACCUCGAUCUAUUUACCAAAAUAUUUUUUCUGUGAAUCUUCUUUGUAUCUUGCAUUCGCAAAUAUUAGGAAAAGAGGUGCCCCCGAGGACAUAGUUGAGAAAAAUGUUGAAAUGAGACAAAAGAGGAUGAUAAAGAAUAGGUAAUCUGCAGCACGUUCACGAGCAAAGAAGCAUGUUGGCUUUUUUUUGUUAUUUAUCUCUAAAAUUUGGUAAUUAAUCAAUAGCAUUUGCAUUUUCAGGGGAUUCGGAAGAUACCCAAAUUGAGAUUUGUUGGGUUUUUAUUGAAUCUAGUUUGAUAUAAUUGAUAUUUUUUGAGUUUCAUACUUAGGGUUGUUUGAUUCUGCCAUAAAAACUCUCACUUACGCACGUCAUUUAGUGCUAUAUACUCUCCACAACAUUGUUCUUUCUUGUGGGGUUUUUCCAAGAACCAAAAUUAAACUAUAUUUUAUGACUAAUCCCUAAUAACUAUAACAACAUAGUGACUAGAAUGAUGCUUAAUGAUACUAUUUAGUUAAUCAUUUUUUUAUUUUAUUUGAGGUUUUUAUUGCAUUUAUGCCUAUAUACAUGUAGCUUCUGUCCUAAUUAAAACAUUGUUUGGUUUUUAAUUAGAAGCUUUUCCUCAUUUGUGUUCCUAUUUGGAUAUAUAAUUAUAGAUUUUUUUUCAUUCAUAUUGUGUUUUCUUGUGCAGAUUGAAUGGGUGGUUUAUACAUUUACUUUGGAUAACAAUUUUUUAUUUCUUUCAGGAUUUGAUUGGGUUAGAUGGUGAGGAUCUUGCUCAAUUCAAGCCUUCUGCCAACCAGAAGUAUGUAUUUAUGGUUUUUUUUUAUAUAUUAAUCCCAUUACUAUAAUGAUUUCAGACUAGUUAUAUAUAUAAUCAUGAUAUACCUAAAUGCAGUAGCAAUAUUAAAACUUACAUAUUUUUAUAUGUAAUGUUGCGGAAGCGACGAUAAUAUUAAUAACAAUAUUAUCAGAAAUAUUUAGAUAAUUAUUAUGCCAACAAUUAUACUAAGAAAAUUCCCAGUUAAAUUGGAGGGGUCACAAAUGGUCCCGCUUAAAACCCAACAACUAGACAGAACUCACUUAGAUAUUUAUAGCAAUAAUAACUAAAUAAAUAUAACCAACAUAAAGCUAUUAAAUAUAAGCAAACAAAUAAGAAAUAAAAUACCAGAGAUUUAACGAGGUUCGGCCAAUUUAGCUUACGUCCUCGGACACUACCAAAUUAAUAUUUCUUCUAGAAAUAUUACAAAGGAGAAGAUUUUGGGAUGAUACAACCAAAGGGGGAGGGGUUCUAUAUAUAACAAACCAAACCCCCUCCCUUUCUAUCUUUUCCUAAUGUGGGAUAUUGUCAAUAUUCAACAAAUCUCCACCUUGGCGAUAUUCCACAUCUUCGAACAUCUUCUCAUAACACUAACUUCAAUAGUGUCUUCAAAUUUGCAACCAAUCGCCUUAUUCCCUUUUGGUAGUUGUGCCAGCUUCCACGUCUUAUUUUUCUCUAGAGAUUGCAUUUCCUCUUCCAUUGCACCUAACCAUCUAUUAUUCUCUAAACUCUGAAUGGCUUUGGUGUAAGUAGAUGGAAUAUUAUCAACAACUGGAAGUGCAUAAGCUACCAUGUCAGUGAAACGAGCAGGUUUUCUGAAUUUCUCGUCUCUGCCUUCUGACUGCAAUUGGCUCUGAUUGCUGUUGAGGUUCUUGGGUAGAAACCUCUUCCUCAUCUGACUCUGCAUCUGCCAAUGAAGAAUCACUAGUGGUACCUUCUGCUGGAAUUACCACACUCUGCUCAAACUCCACCUGCUGCGGAGUACAUUCCACCUGCUGCGAAGUACUACUCACUCCUUCUGGAUUUACCUUAUUCAACAUGGCAGAUUCAUGAAAGGUAACAUCCCUACUGAUUAUCGUCUUCUUUGCCUCUAGACACCACAAACGAUAUCCCUUAACACCAGCAUUGAAGCCCAUGAAUAGAGCCUUCUUUGCUCUUGGAUCUAACUUUGAUUCUUUCACAUGAUAAUAUGCAAUAGAACCAAAAAUGCGCAAGGUGUCAUAAUCAGUAGCAGGUUUUCCAUACCAUUUCUCCAAAGGAGUCUAGCCAUUUAUAGCAGAUGAUGGCAAAUGAUUGAUGAGAUGUUGAGCGUACGUCACAGCCUCAGUCCAAAACUUUCUAUCUAAUCCAGCAUUAGAUAACAUACAUUGAACUUUCUCCACAAGCGUUCGAUUCAUACGCUCUGCCACCCCAUUCUGUUGCGGUGUUCCACCUACGGUGAAGUGCCUUACUAUGCCACAAUCUUGGCAUAUCUUCAGGAAUGGAUCGCUUUUAUAUUCUCCACCGUUGUCUGAUCGGAGAACCUUAAUCUUCCUUCCUGUCUGAUUUUCAACUUUAGUUUUCCACUUAAGGAAAACUUCAAGCACCUCAUCUUUGUUCUUCAUAGGAAACACCCAAACUCGUCUGGAAAAAUCAUCAAUAAAGGUGACAAAAUAACGUCUUCCUCCAAGUGAUGGAGUCUUAGACGGUCCCCAUACAUCAGAAUGCACAUAAUCCAGAAUACCUUUAGUAUUGUGAAUCCCAGUGCCAAAUUUCACCCUUCGUUGUUUUCCCAGAACACAAUGCUCGCAAAAUUCAAGUUUGCAAGUCUUUGUACCUUUCAAUAAUCCUUGCUUGGCUAGAGUUUGCAAGGAUUUUUCACCAGCAUGGCCCAAACGCAUAUGCCACAGCUGUGUUGCCUCAGCGUCCUUCUUGGUACUCGAAAUUGCUGCUGCUGUUGUCCCGACCACUGUACUACCUUGGUAGUAAUACAGAUUGUUCUUUCUUAUGCCUUUCAACAUCACCAAUGCUCCUAAAGUUGCUUUAAGAACUCCAUCUCGUAUUGUCACAACUAGGCCUUUAGAUUCUAACGACCCCAAAGAGAUGAGAUUCUUCUUCAACUUUGGGACAUAUCGUACAUCCCGCAAAAUUCUAGUAGAUCCAUCAUGACUCCUCAGUUUAAUUGAACCUAUCCCGGCUAUUUUACAUGUGUUAUCAUUACCCAUGUAAACAACCCCUUCAUCUAGUUUUUGAAAUUCAAAGAACCAUUCCCGAAUGGGACACAUAUGAUAGGAACAACCAGAAUCCAUGAUCCACUCAUCUGCAUAUAAUGUUGAAGAUGUCAUACUAAGAGAAAAGUCUGACUCUGCUUCACUAUGGCAUUCUGCAACAUUUGCAUCUUGCGGAGUCUUCCCUUUUUUCUUCAAUUUUGGACAAUCUUUCUUCCAAUGUCCUUUUUCUUUGCAAAAGGAGCAUUCAUCUUUGGCAACAGCUCGACCUUUGGACUUUCUUCUCUUCCCAUUAGACUGACUUUGCUGACGACCUCUUGUUACCAAUGCUUCCACUGCUGCUUCACCUGAACCUUUCAACUUAUCCUUUCGGCGUAGUUCAUAGCUAUACAAUGCAGCAGUAACUUCAUUGAAAGUUACUUCCGAUUUUCCAUGAAGUAGAGUAGUUUCAAGGUACUCAAACUCCUCAGGAAGCGAUCCUAACAACAUUAACGCCAAGUCUUCGUCUUCAAAAGUCACAUCCAAAUUCAACAAAUCAGCCACCAGCUGAUUAAAAUUGGUAAUGUGCUCGUUCAUCAUGGUACCAGGAACAUAAUUGAAACGAAACAGUCUUUUCUUCAUAUGCAACUUAUUUUGACUGUUCUUCUUCAAGAAUUUCUCCUCCAAUGCUUUCCACAAUUUACUUGCAGAAGUCUCUUUACUGAAUGUAUACUUCUGCUCUCUGGAAAGACAUGAUCGAAUUGUACCACAUGCCAAUCGGUUGAUGGUCUUCCAUUCUUUAUCAUCAACCCCUUCUGGUUUUUCUUCCUCAAUGGCAAUAUCUAGACCCUGUUGAAAGAGGGCAUCUAGAAGCUCACUUUGCCACAUGCCGAAAUGACCUGUUCCAUCAAAAAUUUCCACUACAAAUCUCGUAUUUGCAGUUCCAAUCCUCGGCAAAAUGUACGAAGUGGAAGUUGUUGAUAUGGAUGGUUUUUCUUCUGUCAUUUUUGCCAUAGCUUCUACUUAAUAGCCACCAAAUGCAGAAUACCCACAAGCUUUAGGAAAUGUUUCUGAUGUGUAAGAUCAGACUAAGCUGCAAACACAGAGCAUACUACAAAACCUUGGCUCUGAUACCAAUUGUGCGGAAGCGACGAUAAUAUUAAUAACAAUAUUAUCAGAAAUAUUUAGAUAAUUAUUAUGCCAACAAUUAUACUAAGAAAAUUCCCAGUUAAAUUGGAGGGGUCACAAAUGGUCCCGCUUAAAACCCAACAACUAGACAGAACUCACUUAGAUAUUUAUAGCAAUAAUAACUAAAUAAAUAUAACCAACAUAAAGCUAUUAAAUAUAAGCAAACAAAUAAGAAAUAAAAUACCAGAGAUUUAACGAGGUUCGACCAAUUUAGCUUACGUCCUCGGACACUACCAAAUUAAUAUUUCUUCUAGAAAUAUUAUAAAGGAGAAGAUUUUGGGAUGAUACAACCAAAGGGGGAGGGGUUCUAUAUAUAACAAACCAAACCCCCUCCCUUUCUAUCUUUUCCUAAUGUGGGAUAUUGUCAAUAUUCAACAUGUAAUUCAUGAUUCUUGUUCAUAAUCUAAUUUCAGAUUGGAAAAUGAAAGUGCGGCGACCUAACUGAUUUGUUAAUUUGUAGUGCUAUUUCCGUACAAUGAACUUUAAACUGGAAAAGCUUAUAUUUUUUGUUAAAUAAUGUUCUGUAUAAUAUCAUUUUCUCUUUUGUUAAAUAAUGUUAAAUAAUGUUCUGUACAUUAUCUUUUCUAAUAGUUUUAGUUUCCUAGAACAUUUGGGUGCUGCAAUUGACUUGAGUAGUUUUUCUACACAUUUGGGUACUGCAACAGGAUAUUGGGAUACAUUUUUAAUUCAUGUUUUGCCAGUGUACUUGGUCAUUACAGUAUGCCAUUGAAGCAUACAUUUAUGGAUACAUACAAACUUUAUUUAUGCAUGUAGUGCUUUUCUGUAUCUAGAUGUAUGUAUACAAAUAUCAAUGCAUAUAAAAAAAUAAAUCCAUAAUAGAUUUAACUCUCAAUUGAAUGAAAUAUUGAUUAUAAUAAGCAUGAAACCAAUUCCUAUGGUGGACAGCUUCAAGAAAAAAUGAGAGCAUGAUUAACAUUUUAAGUAUAAAUCAGAAUUAAGUACAUAUCUUCCCUAAAAUAGCAUUAAUGCCUAUUUAUCCUUAAAAAUACCAUUGUGUUGGGCCCUUUCAUCUGAUAUGUAGCAUGGAUGAGUUUUACAUUUAUUAAGUUUUCUAUGAUAAUGUUUUUUUUUUCUUUGCAACUACUUAUUUAUUACCUUUCUUGUUGACUUGCAAGGCUGAUAUUGUCAUAGACAAAUUUCAUUCAUCAAUAUAUAUGUUUUGAGUAUGCAUCAAGAUGUAUAAUUGUCUGAAUUAAAAUUGUUGUACUCAGCAACAAAUUUGUUAAUAAUUUCAAUGUUUAGAUUCACGGGAUUGACUGUUUACGUUUCUUAAACAGGUACACGUCCAUGUAGAUUCACAUUUUUCUCCCAAUGACCAAUGUUGUUUCGGAUUGGAAGAACUGUAUGAAAGAAAUCAGUUAAAUUGUUGUUGUUAAUGAGAAGUGAGUAAAUGGAUGUUUGAAAUAUCUUUGUAUGGUGGAUUGAAUGCUACUGUAUAUUGUUGCUCAUUACCCUAAACCCUAAACCCAACUUAAACCUUAAACCCUAAACCCUAAACCUUUUAUUUAAUAAAUGGUUGUUGUUGUUUAAAUGCUGUAAAUUGAAGUGUUUAAAUGUUGUAAAUUUAAGUGUUUAAAUAUUGCAAUUUGAAGUGUUUAGUUGCUGCAAAAUUGAGAUGUUUUAUUGCUGUAAUUGAGGUGUAUAAAUUUUGUUAAUUGAGAUGUUAAAGUGCUGCAAAUUGAAGUGUUUAAAUGCUGUAAAUUGAAUUGCUUAAAUGUUGUAAAUUGAAGUGUUUAAGUACUGCAAAUUGAAGUGUUUAGUUGCUGAAAAUUGAGAUGUUUUAUCGCUACAAUUGAGGUGUAUAAAUCUUGUUAAUUGAGAUGUUAAAGUACAUCAAAUUGAAGUGUUUAAAUGCUGUAAAUUGAAGUGUUAAAGUGCUGCAAAUUGAAGUGUUAAAGUGCUGUAAAUUGAAGUGUUUAAAUGUUGUAAAUUGAAGUGCUUAAAUGUUGUAAAUUGAACUGUUUUAAGUACUGCAAAUUGAAGUGUUUAGUUGCUGGAAAUUGAGAUGUUUUAUCACUGUAAUUGAGGUGUAUAAAUGUUGUUAAUUGAGAUGUUAAAGUGAUGCAAAUUGAAGUGUUUAAAUGCUGUAAAUUGAAGUGUUAAAGUACUGCAAAUUGAAGUGUUUGAAUGUUAUAAAUUGAAGUGUUUAAAUGUUGUAAAUUGAAGUGUUUAAGUACUGCAAAUUGAAGUGUUUAGUUGUUGGAAAUUGAGAUGUUUUAUCGCUGUAAUUGAGGAGUAUAAAUGUUGUUAAUUGAGAUGUUAAAGUGCUGCAAAUUGAAGUGUUAAAAGUGCUACAAAUUGGAGUGUUUAAAUGUUGUAAAUUGAAGUUUUUAAGUACUGCAAAUUGAAUAGUUUAGUUGCUGAAAUUUAGUUUAUGUGCCAUGUUAUGAUUGUGUUUUAAAAUUUAACUUGUUUUAGUUCCUUACAUUCUUACAGGAUUCACAUUCAAGGAGUAAGAAACAUCGUAGCAACUCAUUGGGAUUGAACAGUCAGAAUUCAGAAUCAAGCGACACGCAAGAGCUAUAUUUGGAGCUUAGACUGUCACUGUAAUCAGUAAAUUUUUUCUGCCACUUUAAAUGCAUGCUCAUGGAACUGCAUUUUAUGCUUUCCUAGAAUUGUAAGUUCAAAUAAGGUGUUGAUCUUGCAAUUAAUACAUACAACUUGAGCAAGUUGAUAUGAACUAGUUUGAAUUUUUUUAAUCAAAGGAAUCUUAUGUAAUCGAAGGCAAUUUGACUUGCUACAUGAGAUAUAGUGAAAAACAUUGAUCUUCUUGUUCAUGAAUUUCUAUUUGAAUACGUCUUCA
This 7196-nucleotide long non-coding RNA is filed under the name Gossypium barbadense (sea-island cotton). RNAcentral's name for it is "long non-coding RNA (GBAR_LNC001946)". Lineage: Eukaryota; Viridiplantae; Streptophyta; Magnoliopsida; Malvales; Malvaceae. The record is from RNAcentral.